GAUUAACGCGAAGAACCUUACCUGGGCUAGAAAAUGCAGGAACCUGGUCGAAAGGUCGGGGUGCUCUUCGGAGAACCUGUAGUUAGGUGCUGCAUGGCUGUCGUCAGCUCGUGUCGUGAGAUGUUGGGUUAAGUCCCGCAACGAGCGCAACCCUUAUCCCUAGUUGCCAGCGAGUCAAGUCGGGCACUCUAGUGAAACCGCCCCGGAUAACGGGGAGGAAGGUGGGGAUGACGUCAAGUCCUCAUGGCCUUUAUGUCCAGGGCCACACACGUGCUACAAUGGUCGGUACAAACGGUCGCGAAGUCGCGAGGCGAAGCUAAUCCGAAAAAACCGACCUCAGUACGGAUAGGAGUCUGCAACUCGACUCCUUGAAGUCGGAAUCGCUAGUAAUCCCUGAUCAGCAGGCAGGGGUGAAUACGUUCCCGGGCCUUGUACACACCGAAUC
This 445-nucleotide ribosomal RNA is filed under the name uncultured bacterium. RNAcentral describes it as "bacterial SSU rRNA". It matches the Rfam family "Bacterial small subunit ribosomal RNA", at positions 954 to 1396 of the family's 1533-position model. The record is from RNAcentral.